GAAUUUUCAACUAACUAUUUUUCCAAUCUAGGUUUAAUUUUCAAUAAUAUGUGGCGAGCGGAAGAAAGAAAAUUAAGCUAGUUGAGUUCAACAGUACUUUACAUGGCGGGAAAUACAAACGGUGUUUCAAAGAGAAUCAAUUGAGGUUCUCCUGCUAGCUUGAUGGUUCCGAAUUCCAUCUUGUCUGCGUCGAAAUUACAGAACUGAGAUGUAGAGAUUUCGUCUACUCGCAACCGAACCGGAGCUGUGACGCUGCUGAAAACCUCUGAAUUCGUUAGUUUUUCAUCGAAGGGUGGUGUGUGUACUACGAAGCUGGAUAUUGUCGAUCUGGAAAUAGGGUUUGGCGGUGGAGCUUGUGGUUUCUGAAAGUGUGAAGAGUCGGUGCUCAGUUGGCGAAAAAGGUGAGGGGAGUGGGAAGCGGCAGAAAGUCGAAGGGACUUCUUUAGCUUGUUUUUGUACUUAGUACAAGGAAUCGGAAAAAACAUGGUUCUGAUGUGAAAUUGGGGAUUGAGACUUGAGAGUUCAGAUAAGAAUCCUGAUGUGAAUAUAGUUUCGGAAGUUUCACCGGAUUUGGAUGAUGGCGGUUUCAUUCCCCGAAGACAGUGAGAAUAUUGAGGUUGGUUUGGGGUUUGGUUGUGAUAUGAUUGAUUCCCCGAAGGAGACACUGGAUAAUGGCCCAUGCAAGAGGAAAUUAAGCAUGGAUAUGAAAGCUUUGGGGUCUGUAUCAUCUGAAAAGGAUAAGCCGGAGAGGCUUCUUGAGCCUCGAGGUCAGGCAAGAGCGUUCCAUACAGAGAAAUAAACAACAUUCAUAUUGCUGGUGAUUCAGCUUGGUAAAGAUUAAAGAAGGUGGUGCAGAUUGUGGUGGUGAUGUACCUGUGAAGAGUGUAUCAGAGAUUCAGAGGCUAAAACUGAUAACAAUGACUAGACAGAAACUUCAUGUAGAGCAUCCCCCUUUGAGGCACGAGAUCCGUCGGUUUGUUUGUAUAAUCAAAACAUGGAUGGUCUCUGAGGAUCAAUUUUCCAAGAGUUUUUGGGGGUUGCAACUCUAACAAGUUAAUAGUGCAAUUUGAGCUACAUUACGCCUCUUCUUCUCAUGUGUAGUUUCCUGUUGGUUCUAUAUUUAUUGGGAAUCAAUAUGAAGAGAUAGUAUGAUUGUAUUUUAUGUUUUGGCAUUCUGAAGCAUGUGCCUUCUUUUGCAUGUACCAUUGAGUCAGUUGUCUUUUUUAUUGAUCUUACCUUACCAAGUAUUGGAACUGGAAACUGAUAGCUGAGAUCUCCUAUUUUAUGUAUGGCAGUGAUGAAGCUGCAUAUCAAUCGAGCAUCUCUCAAGUGCUCGUCGCUUGAUCAUAGUAUCCAGAUAUUGGCUUUUUUGAUUUGAGUCAUACAAAACCUGGAAAAGUAGAUAGUAUUGGAGCUUUGGCUAACACUCCCAACUUACAGACUUAAGGGGUAAAAUACGAAAACAAGAAAAGAAAGGUGACGUAUAAUAGUCUUGUUCAAGCAGCCUCUCCAACAAGCAGCCUUCAGAUAUCACAUCGCUCGUUCCCGGAUCCAUCGUUGUCUGCAUAAUCGCUUCAUUCUCCCAUUCUCUGCUAAAAUAACGACCAGGGGCAAAGAUAUGAGCAAUGCAACCGUAAAUAGGGUCCUCCAUGCGCGCCAGCGCUUCGUAAGAUACAGUUAUGGCAGCGUCGCUUCUGCUAUGCUCCGGCAGAUGAGACAGAAGCUUCGACACGUUGCUGGCUCCGAACACCUUAUGGACUGCUGCAAAGUGGUUUGCUGCUUGCUCGUAACUGAAAUAAGUUAUAUAAGAGAGAGAGAGAGGCUCUAGGAGCAGGGGAAUGCCGAAAGUGUUGAAGUGAAAAAAAUUGAAGCUUUCCGUCUUGUCCACUUUCGAGCUUAACGAUGAAAGUGUCUUUCUCUAUCACUCGUUAAUUAAUUCUAUAUUAUCUCUCUGCCUAUUUGCGGAUUUCUGCCUUUCAAAUUUUGGUUAUACGUAUGUUGUUUGUAGUGAGAAUUUGUAGAAUUGUAUUCAUAUCUUUGGUUCUUGAAGCAUAGUA
This is a long non-coding RNA of Salvia splendens (bonfire salvia), 2057 nucleotides long. RefSeq lists it as uncharacterized. The transcript has 6 exons. The record is from RefSeq and is a predicted model, not a curated record. Lineage: Eukaryota; Viridiplantae; Streptophyta; Magnoliopsida; Lamiales; Lamiaceae.